GAGUUUGAUCCUGGCUCAGAUUGAACGCUGGCGGCAGGCCUAACACAUGCAAGUCGAGCGGUAGAGAGAAGCUUGCUUCUCUUGAGAGCGGCGGACGGGUGAGUAAUGCCUAGGAAUCUGCCUGGUAGUGGGGGAUAACGCUCGGAAACGGACGCUAAUACCGCAUACGUCCUACGGGAGAAAGCAGGGGACCUUCGGGCCUUGCGCUAUCAGAUGAGCCUAGGUCGGAUUAGCUAGUUGGUGAGGUAAUGGCUCACCAAGGCGACGAUCCGUAACUGGUCUGAGAGGAUGAUCAGUCACACUGGAACUGAGACACGGUCCAGACUCCUACGGGAGGCAGCAGUGGGGAAUAUUGGAAUAAUGGGCGAAAGCCUGAUCCAGCCAUGCCGCGUGUGUGAAGAAGGUCUUCGGAUUGUAAAGCACUUUAAGUUGGGAGGAAGGGCAUUAACCUAAUACGUUAGUGUUUUGACGUUACCGACAGAAUAAGCACCGGCUAACUCUGUGCCAGCAGCCGCGGUAAUACAGAGGGUGCAAGCGUUAAUCGGAAUUACUGGGCGUAAAGCGCGCGUAGGUGGUUUGUUAAGUUGAAUGUGAAAUCCCCGGGCUCAACCUGGGAACUGCAUCCAAAACUGGCAAGCUAGAGUAUGGUAGAGGGUGGUGGAAUUUCCUGUGUAGCGGUGAAAUGCGUAGAUAUAGGAAGGAACACCAGUGGCGAAGGCGACCACCUGGACUGAUACUGACACUGAGGUGCGAAAGCGUGGGGAGCAAACAGGAUUAGAUACCCUGGUAGUCCACGCCGUAAACGAUGUCAACUAGCCGUUGGGGACCUUGAGUCCUUAGUGGCGCAGCUAACGCAUUAAGUUGACCGCCUGGGGAGUACGGCCGCAAGGUUAAAACUCAAAUGAAUUGACGGGGGCCCG
RNAcentral lists this ribosomal RNA (920 nucleotides) under uncultured bacterium. RNAcentral's name for it is "bacterial SSU rRNA". It matches the Rfam family "Bacterial small subunit ribosomal RNA", at positions 9 to 923 of the family's 1533-position model. The record is from RNAcentral.